This 365-nucleotide transfer-messenger RNA is filed under the name Methylophaga sp. It matches the Rfam family "transfer-messenger RNA". Rfam says of the family: Bacterial tmRNA, also known as 10Sa RNA or SsrA, is named for its dual tRNA and mRNA-like properties. Its role is to liberate the mRNA from a stalled ribosome. Lineage: Bacteria; Pseudomonadati; Pseudomonadota; Gammaproteobacteria; Thiotrichales; Piscirickettsiaceae. RNAcentral also lists the same sequence under 1 other name. The record is from RNAcentral.
GGGGGCGACCUGGCUUCGACGGGGAUCGCAAAACCUGAGGUGCAUGCCGAGUAUUUCAGUUCUUCUCGUAAAACAGACUGGAAAAUUAAAAUAGUUGCUAACGAUAACAACUACGCACUAGCUGCUUAAUAACCAGCAAAUGCCGUCCGACCAGAUCCGUGCUUGUGCGACUGGUAUCGGGCGUCGACUCACACAAGAUCGUCUCGACGUAAGCUAGGUGCGAAGAGACUAAAACUUUAACUAGCUCGCUGUUUGUUUGCCCUGUCCAUCGGGUUGCAAACAGUUAAACUAAAAGAUGGAAUAAGCAUGUAGAUCCAAGGGCGGAGGAUCUGCGGACGCGGGUUCGAUUCCCGCCGCCUCCACCA